ACAUGGGUGCACUAUUUUGAGUCUGAAGGUCAAAAGAAGGUGCCAGAUCCGCUGGAACUGGAGUUAUGGAUGGUUGUACAGCUAUGUGGGUGCUGGGAACCAAGCCCAGGCUCUCUGUAAGAACAGCACAUGCUCUUAACCACUGAGCCAUCUCUCCUAUUUUUGAGACACAGUCUCUCACUGAACCUAGAUCUUAGUAAUUGGCUGGACUGGCUAGCCAGUUGGCCCCAAAGAUCCUCCUCUUCAGCCUCUGUCUCCCCAGUGCAGGACUGCAGUGUGCUGCCACGCCACACCUAUCUUUUCACCUGGAUGCUGGGGGAUCUGAAUUCAACUCCUUAUCCCUACAUGGAGCAGAGCCUCUGAGCAGAGUGGACACAGACUCUUGAAGCUGUUCUUCAGCCUGCUGCCUCCAGGUGCUGGAGAGGAACCCAGGAACUCAGG
Long non-coding RNA from Psammomys obesus (fat sand rat), 441 nucleotides. RefSeq lists it as uncharacterized. NCBI's taxonomy places the organism in Eukaryota, Metazoa, Chordata, Mammalia, Rodentia, Muridae. The record is from RefSeq and is a predicted model, not a curated record. The transcript has 3 exons.